This 57-nucleotide microRNA precursor is filed under the name Branchiostoma lanceolatum (amphioxus). Its description in RNAcentral is "Bla-Mir-4872-P12_pre stem-loop". Lineage: Eukaryota; Metazoa; Chordata; Leptocardii; Amphioxiformes; Branchiostomatidae. The record is from RNAcentral.
UUGCGGGGGGAUCACAUCAUGUGUCCAUCUGCUACAUGGUGGGACUCCUCUGCAACC